This 1448-nucleotide long non-coding RNA is filed under the name Mus spicilegus (steppe mouse). Its description in RNAcentral is "lncRNA (ENSMSIG00000009808.1)". Lineage: Eukaryota; Metazoa; Chordata; Mammalia; Rodentia; Muridae. The record is from RNAcentral.
CUUGAGUCUGUAUGAGAUUCUCAUUCAAACCACCACAAAUAUCUAAAAAUGAUUUUGAAAACAAAACAUAACCUCAGAGAAUUUAUAUAGCUCACAUCACAACUGCCAAACAGUCAACAUCACCGGAUUCCACCAAGCUUGACGAUAGACUAGCACACCGUGCUUGGAUACAAAAGUAUCUAAGUCAUUCAUGGAGACUGGGAGUCUUUGUCACACCUGCUGCUAACACUGGAAAUGUAAUCACCUUACAAUGAAAUACUCUUCUGUACUAAGAGAAAUGAUUUGGGAACCAUCUGACUGAGCAGGCAAACCUCAAAUUCAACGUCUCAAGCUACAGAACGCAAACCCCAAAGCAUUGCAGGCAGUUCAUCCCAUUACAGGAAGGAUAAACAACAACAAAGGAAACACAGGAACCAGAAAGGGCUGAGGAGAGAGGCAGUCGGCUGGAGGGUUUGAGGGAGCUUCCAGUGCCAAGAACUGGAAGAGGAAGUAUGUUGCUGCGCUGCAGAGUUGCCGUGGCAAUGGGUCAGCAGCAGAAAGAAACAGGUUCUGCCCUCAACAGACCAUCUGUUAGGAAGGGACCUUAAAUCUCCAAGAAUGGAAGUCUCUAGAGAUAGGACAUUCCAUUCUGUUGGAGUUUAAAUUUGGUCCCAGAGCAACAAGACCUGCUUUGGAAAGCCUCCAAACCUCAGGACUCCACAGUUCUCAAAAAGACAGCCGAACGGCUUUCUGGAAUCCCGUGUGAGCUGUCAGCUCUGCAGCAGUGUAAAGAUGCUGGAGCAUCCUCCAAACGCAAGCCAAGGAUCACAAAGCCUUGGGUAUCACCUUGGCUCUCUUACAAAAAAGCUUUCUGAUCAAGGUGUGGCUGAGACUGGAGAGCAUGGGAAAUAUCCAGGAUAUGUGACUUCAAAGGUGGCCAACUCUGGGACAAGUUGUUACUCUUGCUAUCCUCCUGCUCCGGAUCAAGGACAGACUGAAGAAAACCUGGGUUUUGAUUCACUAUCUUUCUACACAGGACACCCCUUCUGCCUGCCGGAUCCUUCAGAAGACUCCCGGGAGUCCCCUCUCUAUUCGGCUGCUUGCUGGUGAAAAGGUCAGCUUAGGAACUUUGGGAAGGUCAUGGAACACUUGCCUCUACAGAAGGGAGAGGCCAAUUAACGUUUCUCAGACCACAGGGCGGGAACUGACCUGCGUGUGGGGACACAUUCCUCAGGACGGACUGUUGUCCACCUUCAGACAAGGGAAGUCCUUGUCACCUCAUUCCCUAAAGACCACUCAGUUUAAAGGGUGCACUGUUCCGCCAAUCAUAUUGUGCCUAGUUGCUGAUGCUCUAUUCUGCCCCUGGAAGCCAUAUAAAAACUUGCCAACUGGGUGCUGGGGUUGCCACCUCUUGUUUGGGUCUGGGUUGACCCCAGUGCACUGGAACAAUAAAUUCCUCUUGCUUUUUG